Rhinichthys klamathensis goyatoka is the source of this 298-nucleotide long non-coding RNA. RefSeq lists it as uncharacterized. The transcript has 3 exons. The record is from RefSeq and is a predicted model, not a curated record. Lineage: Eukaryota; Metazoa; Chordata; Actinopteri; Cypriniformes; Leuciscidae.
UCAGGGGUCAGAGCCACUGAUAACAACUUAGCAAUCGCAUUUCAACACUCAGAGUUUCUCUUUGUGCUGGUCACGGGUUUCCUCACCCACGGUGGGCGUGUACAGGUACUUGCUGAUCCAUCCAGGCGGUUCUGCAGAGGGGAAGCUGUGAAUGAACUGGUUUUCUUCGGCGUCUGCUUUUUCCGUCAUCAGUUUCGCUGCUUUAAAGUACGUCUUUGCCAGCAGCUGUCCGUGGCACGAUGCCCUCCAAUAGGAGCGCGGGAUUUCCACCAGGCCGUAUCCCAGCAGCAACACCAGC